AACGUAGGAGACGAACGUUAUCCGGAGUUACUGGGCGUAAAGGGCGUGUAGGCGGUUUGUUAAGUCUGGCGUGAAAGCUCUCGGCUAAACCGGGAGAGGUCGUUGGAUACUGGCAAACUUGAGGAUGGUAGAGGCGUGUGGAAUUCCGGGUGUAGUGGUGAAAUGCGUAGAGAUCCGGAGGAACACCAGUGGCGAAGGCGGCUUUCUGGACCAAUACUGACGCUGAGACGCGAAAGCGUGGGGAGCAAACAGG
This 253-nucleotide ribosomal RNA is filed under the name uncultured bacterium. RNAcentral's name for it is "partial 16S ribosomal RNA". It matches the Rfam family "Bacterial small subunit ribosomal RNA", at positions 524 to 776 of the family's 1533-position model. The record is from RNAcentral.